Molecule: ribosomal RNA, 492 nt
Filed under: uncultured bacterium
Lineage: Bacteria
Description: partial 16S ribosomal RNA
Rfam family: Bacterial small subunit ribosomal RNA
Source: RNAcentral
AGUGAACGCUGGCGGUGGGCUUAACACAUGCAAGUCGAACGGCAGCACACUAAGAGUUUGCGCUUACGGGGGGGCGGUGGCGUGCGGAAGAGGAAUGCAACGUAACCUACUUUUUGGUGGGGCUUAAGGAAGGGAAACUUACGCUAGUACCGCUUCCGCCCUACGGGUGAAAGCGGGGGAUCUUCGGACCUUGCGCGGUUGAACGCGCCGAUGUCGGAUUAGCUAGUUGGCGGGGUAAUGGCCAACCAAGGCGACGAUCCGUAGCUGGACUGGGAGGAUGAUCAGCCACACUGGAACUGAGACACGGUCCAGACUCCUACGGGAGGCAGCAGUGGGGAAUAUUGGACAAUGGGCGCAAGCCUGAUCCAGCCAUACCGCGUGUGUGAAGAAGGCCUUCGGGUUGUAAAGACCUUUUGUUGGGAAAGAAAAGCAGCAGGUUAAUACCCCGCUGUUGUGACGGUACCCAAAGAAUAAGCACCGGCUAACUUCGUG